GUUUCUGUAGCUUAUCAAAAAGCAUGACACUGAAGACGUCAAGAUGGCUGAUCCUUUCACCCAGAAACA
This 69-nucleotide transfer RNA is filed under the name Atrichornis clamosus. Its description in RNAcentral is "tRNA-Phe". Lineage: Eukaryota; Metazoa; Chordata; Aves; Passeriformes; Menuridae. The record is from RNAcentral.